This 641-nucleotide ribosomal RNA is filed under the name Escherichia coli. Its description in RNAcentral is "partial 23S ribosomal RNA". It matches the Rfam family "Bacterial large subunit ribosomal RNA", at positions 2263 to 2898 of the family's 2925-position model. The record is from RNAcentral. Lineage: Bacteria; Pseudomonadati; Pseudomonadota; Gammaproteobacteria; Enterobacterales; Enterobacteriaceae.
GGGUAGUUUGACUGGGGCGGUCUCCUCCUAAAGAGUAACGGAGGAGCACGAAGGUUGGCUAAUCCUGGUCGGACAUCAGGAGGUUAGUGCAAUGGCAUAAGCCAGCUUGACUGCGAGCGUGACGGCGCGAGCAGGUGCGAAAGCAGGUCAUAGUGAUCCGGUGGUUCUGAAUGGAAGGGCCAUCGCUCAACGGAUAAAAGGUACUCCGGGGAUAACAGGCUGAUACCGCCCAAGAGUUCAUAUCGACGGCGGUGUUUGGCACCUCGAUGUCGGCUCAUCACAUCCUGGGGCUGAAGUAGGUCCCAAGGGUAUGGCUGUUCGCCAUUUAAAGUGGUACGCGAGCUGGGUUUAGAACGUCGUGAGACAGUUCGGUCCCUAUCUGCCGUGGGCGCUGGAGAACUGAGGGGGGCUGCUCCUAGUACGAGAGGACCGGAGUGGACGCAUCACUGGUGUUCGGGUUGUCAUGCCAAUGGCACUGCCCGGUAGCUAAAUGCGGAAGAGAUAAGUGCUGAAAGCAUCUAAGCACGAAACUUGCCCCGAGAUGAGUUCUCCCUGACUCCUUGAGGGUCCUGAAGGAACGUUGAAGACGACGACGUUGAUAGGCCGGGUGUGUAAGCGCAGCGAUGCGUUGAGCUAACCGG